This 1017-nucleotide long non-coding RNA is filed under the name Capra hircus (goat). Its description in RNAcentral is "lncRNA (ENSCHIG00010028100.1)". Lineage: Eukaryota; Metazoa; Chordata; Mammalia; Artiodactyla; Bovidae. The record is from RNAcentral.
UACCAUUUCUGUCCUUUAUCGAGCCCAUCUUUGCAUGAAAUGUUCCCUCACUGGACAGCAAAGAUUUAUUUUGACUUUGACAUCAGGGUUUUCCCAUUUAAGGACCUGUAUCCUCCCUUCCCUAUUCAAAUCAGUAUUUAUGCAAGGUUCAAGCAUCUAUGUCACUACUUCUCCUUCAGUUAAAGGAAUCAGAUAUAUAACAAACUGUUUCCCCAAAGAAAUUUAGUCCUGGAGUAGGAGAUAAUAUGACAAGAGUUCCACAUAGAAUAUUCAUGCUGAAUGAAUGACUGUAUCAAUGAAAGAAACCAAUGGAGAAUACAGUCUACAAAAUAGAACCCCCAACACAACACAAGGAGACAAGUUAUGAGUACAUAGGAUUUGGGACCAGAAGACAUUGCUUCAAAUCCCAGAUCUUCCAUUCACAUUCCAUGAGGUCUUGGGAAAAUCUUUUGGCCUCUCAUUCAUCAGAUAAUGAUAAUAUUAAUUACAACCCACAAAUAUUCUUUAAUAAUCAAAUGAGAUAAAUCAGACAUAAAUAUUAGAGCAAACAGUGUAACUGAGAAAGUUGUAUAAAUAACAUUUAAAUCUGUACCUUCUAUAUUAUUACAGUAGCUAAUAUCCUAUAAAUAUGAAACACUAUGGAUGUCUUGACAAACUGGGCAAAUAUCUAUGGGAAAAGAGUAAUGAUUAAUGGAUGACUAUGCUUCCAUUUGGAAGGUACAAUAAUACUUAUUAAUUCAUUGCAAUCAUUAUCUAUAAAGUUUUUAUCUGACACCAAGGUCAGAUAAUGUUGAAAUCUGCUUUUGAAUAUAUGACUUAUCUCCUUGAUCAUACCUCAUGUGCUCUCUGGACAGGCUUUGUGGGCCUCAGCAAUAUUUGGCAAUAAUCAUUCGUUUCUGUGCUUUAUAGUUCAACAAGUACUUUCACAUAUAUUCAUAAAGUUAUCUUUAAGACAACUUAAGAUAGUCAGAAAGCAAAGAAGAACUAAAGAGCCUCUUGAAGAAAGUGAAAGAGGAG